Molecule: ribosomal RNA, 460 nt
Filed under: uncultured bacterium
Lineage: Bacteria
Description: partial 16S ribosomal RNA
Rfam family: Bacterial small subunit ribosomal RNA
Source: RNAcentral
CCUACGGGUGGCAGCAGUGAGGAAUAUUGGUCAAUGGACGAGAGUCUGAACCAGCAAAGUAGCGUGAAGGAUGACUUCCCUAUGGGUUGUAAACUUCUUUUGUAUGGGAGUAAAAUGUUCCACGUGUGUGAUUUUGUAUGGACCAUAUGAAUAAGGAUCGGCUAACUCCGUGCCAGCAGCCGCGGUAAUACGGAGGAUCCGAGCGUUAUCCGGAUUUAUUGGGUUUAAAGGGAGCGCAGGUGGAUUGUUAAGUCAGUUGUGAAAGUUUGCGGCUCAACCGUAAAAUUGCAGUUGAAACUGGCAGUCUGGAGUACAGUAGAGGCGGGCGGAAUUCGUGGUGUAGCGGUGAAAUGCUUAGAUAUCACGAAGAACUCCGAGUGCGAAGGCAGCUCACUGGACUGCAACUGACACUGAGGCUCGAAAGUGUGGGUAUCAAACAGGAUUAGAUACCCCAGUAGUC